UAGGGAAUCUUCGGCAAUGGACGGAANNNUGGACCGAGCAACGCCGCGUGAGUGAAGAAGGUUUUCGGAUCGUAAAGCUCUGUUGUAAGAGAAGAACGAGUGUGAGAGUGGAAAGUUCACACUGUGACGGUAUCUUACCAGAAAGGGACGGCUAACUACGUGCCAGCAGCCGCGGUAAUACGUAGGUCCCGAGCGUUGUCCGGAUUUAUUGGGCGUAAAGCGAGCGCAGGCGGUUAGAUAAGUCUGAAGUUAAAGGCUGUGGCUUAACCAUAGUACGCUUUGGAAACUGUUUAACUUGAGUGCAAGAGGGGAGAGUGGAACUCCAUGUGUAGCGGUGAAAUGCGUAGAUAUAUGGAGGAACACCGGUGGCGAAAGCGGCUCUCUGGCUUGUAACUGACGCUGAGGCUCGAAAGCGUGGGGAGCAAACAGGAUUAGAUACCCUGGUAGUCCACGCCGUAAACGAUGAGUGCUAGGUGUUAGACCCUUUCCGGGGUUUAGUGCCGCAGCUAACGCAUUAAGCACUCCGCCUGGGGAGUACGACCGCAAGNUUG
This 551-nucleotide ribosomal RNA is filed under the name uncultured bacterium. RNAcentral's name for it is "bacterial SSU rRNA". It matches the Rfam family "Bacterial small subunit ribosomal RNA", at positions 355 to 896 of the family's 1533-position model. The record is from RNAcentral.